GGCAGCGUAGCUCAGUUGGCAGAGCAUUGGGUUAGUAUUCCAAAGGUCGUAGGUUCGAUUCCCACCGUGGCCA
This 73-nucleotide transfer RNA is filed under the name Paramuricea clavata. It matches the Rfam family "tRNA". From Rfam's summary of the family: Transfer RNA (tRNA) molecules are approximately 80 nucleotides in length. The record is from Rfam by way of RNAcentral. Lineage: Eukaryota; Metazoa; Cnidaria; Anthozoa; Malacalcyonacea; Plexauridae.